AACGAACGCUGGCGGCAUGCCUAACACAUGCAAGUCGAACGAGACCUUCGGGUCUAGUGGCGCACGGGUGCGUAACGCGUGGGGACCUGCCUUUAGGUUCGGAAUAACUCAGAGAAAUUUGAGCUAAUACCGGAUGAUGUCUUCGGACCAAAGAUUUAUCGCCUUUAGAUGGGCCCGCGUUGGAUUAGCUAGUUGGUGGGGUAAAGGCCUACCAAGGCGACGAUCCAUAGCUGGUCUGAGAGGAUGAUCAGCCACACUGGGACUGAGACACGGCCCAGACUCCUACGGGAGGCAGCAGUGGGGAAUAUUGGACAAUGGGCGAAAGCCUGACCCAGCAAUGCCGCGUGAGUGAUGAAGGCCUUAGGGUUGUAAAGCUCUUUUACCCGAGAUGAUAAUGACAGUAUCGGGAGAAUAAGCUCCGGCUAACUCCGUG
RNAcentral lists this ribosomal RNA (433 nucleotides) under uncultured bacterium. RNAcentral's name for it is "partial 16S ribosomal RNA". It matches the Rfam family "Bacterial small subunit ribosomal RNA", at positions 29 to 507 of the family's 1533-position model. The record is from RNAcentral.